UUCCAGACUCCUACGGGAGGCAGCAGUGGGGAAUAUUGCACAAUGGGGGGAACCCUGAUGCAGCAACGCCGCGUGGGUGAAGAAGUACUCCGGUAUGUAAAGCCCUGUCAGCAGGGAAGAAAAUGACGGUACCUGACCAAGAAGCUCCGGCUAACUACGUGCCAGCAGCCGCGGUCAUACGUAGGAUCCGAGCAUUAUCCGGAGUGACUGGGUGUAAAGAGUUGCGUAGGUGGCAUAGUAAGUAGCUAGUGAAAUCUGGUGGCUCAACCAUUCAGACUAUUAGCUAAACUGCUAAGCUCGAGACCGGUAGGGGUAACUGGAAUUUCUAGUGUAGGAGUGAAAUCCGUAGAUAUUAGAAGGAACACCGAUAGCGUAGGCAGGUUACUGGGACGGUUCUGACACUAAGGCACGAAAGCGUAGGGAGCAAACGGGAUUAGAUCCCCGUAAC
Molecule: ribosomal RNA, 448 nt
Filed under: uncultured bacterium
Lineage: Bacteria
Description: bacterial SSU rRNA
Rfam family: Bacterial small subunit ribosomal RNA
Source: RNAcentral